GCGGAGGUAGCUCAGGUGGCAGAGUGACGGAUUGAAAGGUUCGUAGGUCGGUGGUUCGAGUCCAUCCCUCCGCU
This 74-nucleotide transfer RNA is filed under the name Spirosoma fluviale. RNAcentral describes it as "tRNA_Phe_GAA". It matches the Rfam family "tRNA". From Rfam's summary of the family: Transfer RNA (tRNA) molecules are approximately 80 nucleotides in length. Their secondary structure includes four short double-helical elements and three loops (D, anti-codon, and T loops). Further hydrogen bonds mediate the characteristic L-shaped molecular structure. tRNAs have two regions of fundamental functional importance: the anti-codon, which is responsible for specific mRNA codon recognition, and the 3' end, to which the tRNAs corresponding amino acid is attached (by aminoacyl-tRNA synthetases). tRNAs cope with the degeneracy of the genetic code in two manners: having more than one tRNA (with a specific anti-codon) for a particular amino acid; and 'wobble' base-pairing, i.e. permitting non-standard base-pairing at the 3rd anti-codon position. The record is from RNAcentral. Lineage: Bacteria; Pseudomonadati; Bacteroidota; Cytophagia; Cytophagales; Cytophagaceae.